UAUAUAUAUAUAUAUAUAUAUAUAUAUAUAUAUAUAUAUAUAUAUAUAUAUAUAUAUUUUUAUUUUUUAUUUUUUUUAUUGGGGUAGCCACCAAAAUAUUGGGAAAUAUAAAAAAAGACAAACUCUGUUCCGCAGAGUAGCUGUUGACUCUAGAGAACCUCGGGCCAAUCGCACAUCCCGGCGACUUUGCAUUCGGAUGUCAUCCAUAUCAACUUUCGAUGCCAGUUUCUGCGCCUACCAUGGUGACCUCGGGUAACAGGAAAUCAGGGUUCCAUUCCGUACAGGGACUCUGAGAAAUGGCUAUCACAUGCAAGGAAGGCAGCAGGUGCGCAAAUGACCCACCCCUGAUGCGGGAAGGUAGUGA
This is a non-coding RNA of Pelobates cultripes (western spadefoot toad), 364 nucleotides long. The record is from the annotation of a GenBank genome assembly. NCBI's taxonomy places the organism in Eukaryota, Metazoa, Chordata, Amphibia, Anura, Pelobatidae.